Molecule: ribosomal RNA, 207 nt
Filed under: Klebsiella oxytoca
Lineage: Bacteria; Pseudomonadati; Pseudomonadota; Gammaproteobacteria; Enterobacterales; Enterobacteriaceae
Description: partial 23S ribosomal RNA
Rfam family: Bacterial large subunit ribosomal RNA
Source: RNAcentral
GCUUGAUAUUGAAGCUAGGUAUGUGAUGCACAGGAUAGGUGGGACACGAAGAGAUUAGGGCUUUGGCCUUGGUGGAGUGGACGUUGGGAUACCACCCUUUGCAUAUUGAGUUUCUAACUUGUGGUAGUGGAUACCAAAGGACAGUGUCAGGUGGGCAGUUUGACUGGGGCGGUCGCCUCCGAAAGGGUAACGGAGGCGCUCAAAGGU